UUUGAUCUGAUCAAUCCCAUCUCUCUGACUAAAUCUACUUGCUAAAGCAUUUAUGUUUUAUUUUAUUUGUGUACAUUUCAGGAGUAAUUUUCUGCUGGCAUAAUGUGAGAGGGGGCUAAUGAAGUCCAUCCACUUUAGCUGUCUGCUGACUGUGUCAGAAUGCGAACUGUGUGAUGCAAUAUCUAGGCAAAGUAUUAGCUGACAUUUUGGUAGGACUGGUCUCCUGGUGUUUAAUGUUACUGUACUCUACAUAGUGCAUGCUUGCUAUCUUUUAAGUUUUCAGUGUUAUGGUACCAUGGUUAGGAACUUAAAUGAGUCAUGAUGCUGAAAUUAUAUUGAGGGAUUCCUCUUAAACACUUUCUGCAAUAUGGCAAUAUGCUUGCAUACUACUGUUGCUUCUAUAUAUUCCUUCUGUACUUCCUACUAUUAAGGCAAUGUAUGUUCCUUAUGGAUGUACUAACUUUAUAACCAAACUCGUGGUGGGUUUUAUAGUUAUGAUCGAGAGAAGGAUGAUGAGGUUGAUGUCAGUUGAUGAUGAUGAUGUGGCUGUCAACCAUCAUUGUAGCUUAUAGUUAGUUCGUGAAAUUUGAUGAGGCUGAUUGGUAGAUGAUGUGUUGAUUGUGCUGAUGGUUGGCUGUUGCAAUGCAGCUUUUGAUGCUGUUUGUAGUUAAUGUAUUUGCGAUGCAUGAACAGCAGAUGCUGGCUGGAGAUUUUCUGUGCGCAAAUGUAUAUGAUGUAUUGGG
Molecule: long non-coding RNA, 743 nt
Filed under: Nicotiana tabacum (common tobacco)
Lineage: Eukaryota; Viridiplantae; Streptophyta; Magnoliopsida; Solanales; Solanaceae
Description: long non-coding RNA (NTAB_LNC001975)
Source: RNAcentral